UGCUUCUCUCUGAUUUAGCGGCGGACGGGUGAGUAACACGUGGGUAACCUGCCUUGUAGACUGGGAUAACUUCGGGAAACCGGAGCUAAUACCGGAUAAUACUUUUGAACUCAUGUUUGGAAGUUGAAAGAUGGUUUCGGCUAUCACUAUAAGAUGGACCCGCGGCGCAUUAGCUAGUUGGUGA
RNAcentral lists this ribosomal RNA (184 nucleotides) under uncultured bacterium. Its description in RNAcentral is "partial 16S ribosomal RNA". It matches the Rfam family "Bacterial small subunit ribosomal RNA", at positions 78 to 255 of the family's 1533-position model. The record is from RNAcentral.